ACUAAGGUGGCAGAGUAUGGUAAUUGCAAAAGGCCUAAGCCCUUUCAUCAGGGGUUCAAAUCCUCUCCUUAGUU
This 74-nucleotide transfer RNA is filed under the name Abramites hypselonotus (marbled headstander). RNAcentral describes it as "tRNA-Leu". It matches the Rfam family "tRNA". Rfam says of the family: Transfer RNA (tRNA) molecules are approximately 80 nucleotides in length. Lineage: Eukaryota; Metazoa; Chordata; Actinopteri; Characiformes; Anostomidae. The record is from RNAcentral.